ACAUGCAGAGAACUUUCCAGAGAUGGAUUGGUGCCUUCGGGAACUCUGACACAGGUGCUGCAUGGCUGUCGUCAGCUCGCGUCGUGAGAUGUUGGGUUAAGUCCGUAACGAGCGCAACCCUUGUCCUUAGUUACCAGCACGUUAUGGUGGGCACUCUAAGGAGACUGCCGGUGACAAACCGGAGGAAAGGUGGGGAUGACGUCAAGUCAUCAUGGCCCUUACGGCCUGGGCUACACACGUGCUACAAUGGUCGGUACAAAGGGUUGCCAAGCCGCGAGGUGGAGCUAAUCCCAUAAAACCGAUCGUAGUCCGGACCGCAGUCUGCAACUCGACUGCGUGAAGUCGGAAUCGCUAGUAAUCGUGAAUCAGAAUGUCACGGUGAAUACGUUCCCGGGCCUU
This 399-nucleotide ribosomal RNA is filed under the name uncultured Pseudomonas sp. Its description in RNAcentral is "bacterial SSU rRNA". It matches the Rfam family "Bacterial small subunit ribosomal RNA", at positions 984 to 1382 of the family's 1533-position model. The record is from RNAcentral. Lineage: Bacteria; Pseudomonadati; Pseudomonadota; Gammaproteobacteria; Pseudomonadales; Pseudomonadaceae.